Oncorhynchus masou masou (cherry salmon) is the source of this 1385-nucleotide long non-coding RNA. RefSeq lists it as uncharacterized. NCBI's taxonomy places the organism in Eukaryota, Metazoa, Chordata, Actinopteri, Salmoniformes, Salmonidae. The record is from RefSeq and is a predicted model, not a curated record. The transcript is spliced from 4 exons.
CGAGCCCAGGGCCCACUGUUGUAGGUCUGUAAGGUGAGCCGAGCCCAGGGCCCACUGUUGUAGGUCUGUAAGGUGAGCCGAGCCCAGGGCCCACUGUUGUAGGUCUGUAAGGUGAGCCGAGCCCAGGGCCCACUGUUGUAGGUCUGUAAGGUGAGCCGAGCCCAGGGCCCACUGUUGUAGGUCUGUAAGGUGAGCCGAGCCCAGGGCCCACUGUUGUAGGUCUGUAAGGUGAGCCGAGCCCAGGGCCCACUGUUGUAGGUCUGUAAGGUGAGCCGAGCCCAGGGCCCACUGUUGUAGGUCUGUAAGGUGAGCCGAGCCCAGGGCCCACUGUUGUAGGUCUGUAAGGUGAGCCGAGCCCAGGGCCCACUGUUGUAGGUCUGUAAGGUGAGCCGAGCCCAGGGCCCACUGUUGUAGGUCUGUAAGGUGAGCCGAGCCCAGGGCCCACUGUUGUAGGUCUGUAAGGUGAGCCGAGCCCAGGGCCCACUGUUGUAGGUCUGUAAGGUGAGCCGAGCCCAGGGCCAACUGUUGUAGGUCUGUAAGGAGGGAAUAUGGUAGAAUGUCCACCACCACACUGAUUAUACCUAUCCAGACCCUUCACAUCUGCAAACAUAUAAAUCCUGUGUCACACCAAGCAAUUUGGAUAAAAUUUCUGUUGCAGAUGCAAGUGACAUCAGCUUUGCUGAUACACAAAGCAAUUCAAAUGCAAUAGAAAUGCAUGCAACCUCCAACCCUGUCAUACAUCAUGGUAUCAUAAAUUAUUUGUUUUGCCAAACGUUUGGUAAUUGUAACAUAAUCGUUAUAGACAAUGCUGGCUGUAAAAUUGAGCUAGUUAGCGAAAAUGUUGCAGUUUUGCCAAGCUACUGUAACUAGCUAGCAAAACAAGUUAGCGAUGAGCUAAGUUAGCUAGCUAGUGCAGUUCAUGUUGGACAGAAAUGUCUGGGGGAGGAGACAGGUUAAAGAAGGAUUUUUAAGCCUUGACACAACUGAAAUAUGGAUUGUAUAUGUGUGCCAUUCAGAAGGUGAAUGACCAAGACAAUAUAGAAGUAUCUUUGAACAGGGUAUGGUAGUACAGUAGGUUCCAGGCACACUGGUUUGUGUUAAGAACUGCAACUCUGCUUACUAAGCUAACAUUUUGUUGAUGUAUUUAACCCCUUAGUUUAAGCACUAAACUAUCUCCAUUAAGUUCCAUGUAUUUUUUUAAAAAGUGGUGCACGGCUACCUUCAGACUCGUCUUAUGAGGGUUGUGGACGUCCUGGAGCGAAACAACUGACAUGUACGUGUUUGUUAGGGUCAUAUUAGUGUGUAGCCCAAACUGUUCAAACACUACAGACAGAAGUUGGCAGAUCGGAUGUACCGACUUCAGACGAGUCCCGGGAUGCUUGUGG